AACUGGCAAGUAAACAUGUGAAAACUUGAUCAGCUUCAGUAGCCAUCAAGGAAAGGUAAAUUAUAACAAAAAUUAAAUACCACUACACACCAGAAUGGCUAAAACAAUUUUUUAAAAACUGAUGAAGAUAUGAAGCAACUGGGAUUCAUACAAGUUUGGUGGAAAUCUAAAUUGUACACUUUGGGAAACAGGCUUUUUCUACUAAAGCUGAGCAUGCAUGUUAAUUUUGGGGUUUUUUUGUUUUUUGUUUGUUUUGCUAGUUUUUUGUUGUCGUUUUUGGCCGUGCUGUGCAGCAUGCGGGAUCUUAAGCAUGGAGUCCUAACCACUGGACUGCCAGGGAAUUCCCCUAUUAUUUUGGAUGUGUAAUUGUACUUCUAGGCAUAUAUCCAACGGAUAAAUACAAAUAUUUUUACUGAAAGAGUAUUCACAGUAGUACUAUUCUCAAUAGCCCGGAUACAGACAACAGCACAAAUGUCCACCAACACUAGAAUGGAUAUAUAAAUGUGCUCUAUUCACUCAGUGAUACACUCUACAGGAUUGAGAAUGAACCAACCACAACUGCACGCAUACAAAAGAAACAGCACAAAGGAGUACAUACUAUAUUUCACUCAAAAAGACAAAUUUAAUAUGUGGUGUUGGAAGUUGGGAUGGUAGUUGCCUGGAUGGUGACAAGUUGGAAGGAUUGACUUGAGGGAGCUUCUCUGGUGUUAACAGUGUUCUGGUUUUUUAUCUGUAUAUUGACUGUAGGUGUAUUCACUUGACAAAAGUUAUUGUGAAUAUUUAUAUAUACUCAUAGUUUAGUAUAACUGUUCCUUAAUAAAAAACAGAAAGUCUGAACAUGUUGGCUCUCUGAAAUCCCUCCAAUAGUUUCUCAGUUCUUAAAAAACACAACACAAAUAAGAUGAUUCAUUAGGAUAACAGCAGUAAGUAUGUAUGUGAAGAAUCCCUGUGUGAUGUGCUAAAGGUAUGUGAAUAUAUUACAUAACAUAUUUUGUCCCCUUAGCUAUGUGACAAAGAUUUUUCACGUUAAAUGCUAACCAAUUUCUCUUAAUAUACAUUUUAAGGCAAAUAAUAUUUUACAGUUGUCAAGUUUACCUUACCUAGUAUAUGUUCUCUUAUGGUUUCCUGGCAUAUAUAAGUGGAUAUAGCCAGUGUUUUCUAUUAACUCUUUAAUAAAGAAUUUAAACAUUG
This 1191-nucleotide long non-coding RNA is filed under the name Phocoena sinus (vaquita). RNAcentral's name for it is "lncRNA (ENSPSNG00000019846.1)". The record is from RNAcentral. Lineage: Eukaryota; Metazoa; Chordata; Mammalia; Artiodactyla; Phocoenidae.